AUGGGUGGGCUGGGUGCUGGAUGGGGCUGGCAGCUCCGGGAGGUUUGGGUGAUGGCGCAUGGGUGCGAGGGGGACAGAGAGAGGUGGCAGGAGGUGAAGCAGGAUCUGCUCCAGCAGGGGACCUGCCUGCUGGCACCCGGGCUUCAGGAAGCCCGUCCGGCCACAAACACUUGCCUGGGGCAGAAAAAUCCAGCGAGAGCCGCCCAGCCCUCAGCCCGGGGCUUUCCCCCUGCUCCCAGGUGGUGCGGGAUGGCCGGGCUGGGGGAGCGCUGCCUGAAGCGGGGCUCAGGAGCGGGGACGGAGGGCUGGGGGCCCUGGGUCUGCUCCUGGGGAGGACGGAGCAGAUGGAGGGGCGGUGGGAGCAGCGCCCUCGCUGCUUGGGGCGGCCGCAGAGGGGCUGGGUGGGACGGGAAGGUCGUGGCAGCCUCAGUUUCCCCCCUGGCAGGUGCUGGGGGCGAUGUCACAUCCCGCCUGCACUGGGAAUUUGGUGUGGCGAGGGACGCAAAGUGCAGCUGCCAGCUCCCAGCACCUCCCUUUCUCCCGCGUUUGUGCACGGACAGCACCCCGAGAGCCCCCACGGCCGGCAAGGAAGCGCCCGGUGCUUUUCCAAGCGGAGGAGUCUGGGGCCAGGGGGGAGAGAUGGAGACCCCGGAGGGGCUGGUGGCGGGGUUGGGGGGCUCUGCCGUGGGGCUGGGGGCUCUGCUCUGGGGCUGGGGGGCCAAGCACCCUGGGGAGCUGCGUCGUGGGGUGAACCCAGGGCAGCUGGCGUGCGGUGGAAGUCCUCGCUUCUGCUGCGAGCGUGGCGUGCCCAGCCUCGGCGAUGGGGGGACCGGGGGCUGCUCGAUGGCUUUGGGGUGCUGCCCCCCGCCCCUGGCCCACGCUCCCCCAAGCCGGGAGGCGGGGAGCAGAGGGUGGGGCCUCUUUUUGGGCAUCCCCCCCCUCACACACACGCACACACACACACACCCAGGCAGCUCCGGUUCUCCUCCCAGGCCAAAAUUAUUUGCAUGUUUUUUAGAGCAGGACUUCCUGAUUGCUCUCUAUUGGCUGCAGGUAGAAAGCUGUGCGGAGACGGAGACACGGACAGCCGGACAGAUCUCAUGCAAACCUCUAGCUGAGCCUCUUCCCCACUCUCCUCCUUCUCCUCCUCCUCCUCCUCCUCCUCUCAGCACGCCUGCGGCUGCCCGGCUCCCUUGGCUCGCGUCCUGCCCAGCACAUGUAAAAGUUGUGCGAGAGCCCGUGCCCGCGUCCCGCUCCCCUCUGCUGCUCGCAGGGAGCCGGCGAGGAGAAGGGGGCGAGAGCCGGGCUGGAAGAAGCCCCCCCUGGGCUGGAAGAAGCCCCCCCCGGGCUGGUUCCCUUGAGCCCCGCUUGCCCCAUGGUGGAUUUCUGCGAGGGAAGGUGACUUGGGGAAGAAGCGGCGCUGCGCCGGGUCGAAGGCAACCAUGA
This 1446-nucleotide long non-coding RNA is filed under the name Anser brachyrhynchus (Pink-footed goose). Its description in RNAcentral is "lncRNA (ENSABRG00000011214.1)". The record is from RNAcentral. Lineage: Eukaryota; Metazoa; Chordata; Aves; Anseriformes; Anatidae.